GUAAGUUCACGCCACGCAUUAGAACGGGCGAAACCGCGAAUGGCUCAGGAACCGGACCUAAUCCUCGGGACCGUAAUCCUCUUCGGAGGCGAUGGAUAACUGUGGCAAUUCUAGAGCUAAUACAUGUGAUACAGGCCGCGAUCGGUCGGCGCGUUGUCGUCGCCUCGCCUUCUUGCGCGCUGGCACCCGCGUCGGCCGUUACGGGUCGCGGCGCUACAUAUUAGACUGAGACCGAUGCGCGUACAUCCGUCCUCCUGUCGUGUCGUCGUGGCUGGCACUCGCUGUCGACCGCGGUGGCUGGCAGGGCUCAUAGGGCGGCGCGCUCCGCUUUGGUGACUCUGGAUAACUCACUGGUCGAUCGCACGGGCUCCCAUGCUCGGCGACGGGUCUCUCGAGGGUCCGCCCUAUCAACUGUCGACGGUCGGUUAAGUGCCUACCGUGGUUACUACGGGUAACGGGGAAUCGGGGUUCGAUUCCGGAGAGGGAGCAUGCGAAACGGCUACCACAUCCAAGGAAGGCAGCAGGCGCGCAAAUUACCCACUCCCGGCACGGGGAGGUAGUGACGAAAAAUAACGACGCGGGACUCUGUCGAGGCCCCGCGAUCGGAAUGAGUACACUUCAAAUCCGUUAACGAGGACCAACCGGAGGGCAAGUCUGGUGCCNNNNNNUUUUGAUUNGUCGUCCGUUCGAUUCCCGGCCCUUUCCGCCGGUGUCAACCGCUAGCAUAUCCGCCUUGUGGUCCUGCCGGCGAGGUGGACGAGGUGGUCGAGUCGGGAUCCGGGAGCGGUUCCGGGCGGGGGUCGUACCACGGGGUCGUAAGUGGUAGUUGCGUCGGCGUCGCUUCUUUACUCGAGGGGGCGAGAAUCGCGUGCGUUUACGCGUGCGUCGUUUUCUCCGUCUCCCCGCCGCGAGUAGUUCGUCGGUCGUUUCUGCCGCCCUUCCUCGCUUCGUCCCCCCUCUCCCUCCCCCUGGCCCACACCGAGUCCUUGCUUCGUGUCUGCGCGCGCUUGUUGCGGUCGGCGGUUUCUCCUCCAAGGGUGCUCUUAACCGAGUGUCCGCGGCGGCCGGUACGUUCACUUUGAAAAAAUUAGAGUGCUCAGAGCGGGCUGUUCAAGCUUGCAUACGAUAAGCAUGGAAUGAUGGAAGAGGGCCUCGUCUACGUCUGUCGGUCUCCGUCUACGGCGAGGCAAUGAUCGAAGGGAGCGGUCGGGGCCACUCGUAUUGCGACGUUAGAGGUGAAAUUCUUGGAUCGUCGCAAGACGAACUGCAGCGAUGGCGUGUGGCAAGCACGUUUUCCUCGAUCAAGAGCGAAAGUCGGAGGUUCAAGACGAUCAGAUACCGUCGUAGUUCCAACCGUAAACGAUGCCGACCGGCGAUCCGCCGGCGUUCGCUUCCAUGACCCGGCGGGUAGCCUGCGGGAAACCAGAGUUCGGUUCCGGGGGGAGUAUGGUUGCAAAGCUGAAACUUAAAGGAAUUGACGGAAGGGCACCACCAGGAGUGGAGCCUGCGGCUUAAUUUGACUCAACACGGGAAAACUCACCCGGUCCGGACACCGGUAGGAUUGACAGAUCGAUAGCUCUUUCUCGAUUCGGUGGGUGGUGGUGCAUGGCCGUUCUUAGUUGGUGGAGCGAUCCGUCUGGUUGAUUCCGAUAACGAACGAGACUCCGGCCUGCUAACUAGUGCGCCGAUGUGUGUGAUUUUUACGGCGGGCUCGUCGGCGUCCAUCGUGGCGCCCGGGUCCGGGUCGGUUUUCUCACGCACUUCUUAGAGGGACGGGUGGCAGAAAGCCACACGAGGCGGAGCGAUAACAGGUCUGUGAUGCUGUCUGUGAUGCCCUUAGAUGUCCGGGGCCGCACGCGCGCUACACUGGAGGUAUCAGCGGGGACUUCGCCCCGGCCCGAGAGGGUUGGGAAACCUCUUAACCACCUCCCGUGAUAGGGAUCGGGGCCUGUAACCAACCCCGUGAACGAGGAAUUCCCGGUAGGCGCGGGUCAACAGCCCGCGUCGAUCACGUCCCUGCCCUUUGUACACACCGCCCGUCGCUACUACCGAUCGAACGGUCCGGUGAGGUCCUCGGAUCUGGCCGACGACGCCGCCGGGCAGUGUGCGUAGUGUCGGCAACGAUGCUCGUGCGUCUCCGCCUCGGCGUUCGAUGCCUGGAGAAGACGACCGAACCCGAUCGUUUAGAGGCAGUAAAAGUCGACAAGGA
This 2209-nucleotide ribosomal RNA is filed under the name Heteroteuthis sp. Spain-WK. RNAcentral's name for it is "bacterial SSU rRNA". It matches the Rfam family "Eukaryotic small subunit ribosomal RNA". The record is from RNAcentral. Lineage: Eukaryota; Metazoa; Mollusca; Cephalopoda; Sepiida; Sepiolidae.